Molecule: long non-coding RNA, 966 nt
Organism: Acinonyx jubatus (cheetah)
Lineage: Eukaryota; Metazoa; Chordata; Mammalia; Carnivora; Felidae
Exons: 2
Source: RefSeq, a predicted model, not a curated record
CCAGAGUCUGCUUUUAGUGGUGGGAAUGGUGGUAGGUUAACUCAAACUAUGAUGAUAAGAAGGCCUGAGAAGGAAGCAUAUAUAGAAGAAAACAAAGCACCUGGAUCAUUUGGACACCUGGAUCCAGCCAUUCCUGAUAAGUGCUUUGGAUUGACAACUGUGGCCUGGCAGCUAGAGCAGGUAUGUCUAGCCAAUGAAUCGUGAUGCCUUCUGUCACCUGCACUCCCUGGGAAUUUAGACAGAUCAAUCGAUCCCUCUUUCGAACCAGCCAUCUCUACUGGCAAAGGAAAAAGUCUGCGCCAGGGUUUCUGACUCCUUAAGCAGCUUCCUCACCCAGCCGGCUUCUUCUGCAAUUUCAUGGAUAAAGGGAGGCCCUAAGGCCUGAGCGUUUCAGUUCCUUACCAGCAACUGCGAAAUCCGACGGCAAAGAGUUCUGUGCAAAAGACAACCAGAUGCCUUUGGACACAGAAAUUAAUCACUUACAGUUCAAAAUAAGUGAUCUUUAUUUUUCAAAGAUACAGGUGAAUUUGAAUAAAGAGCAUACAGGCAUUUUUUUGGUACUGUUCUUGCAAUUUUUGAUAAGAUUAAAAUAAAUAAAAUGUUUUGAGUACUGGAGAAAGUAAGGUACUUUAAAUUUGUCAUUUGGAUAAGGUACAAAUUUGGGGAACCAUUGCUCUGUCUUGUAGAAAGCCCUUAUCUGAGCAUAUGAAUAGCACGAAUAGCAUUUUUCCUUGAUUCCUGUUACUGACAGAGAUUUUCUCCCAUUUUUUAAAACACUUAUUAGAUGGGGUGCCUGGGUGGCUCAGUUCAGUUGAGCGUCAGACUUCAGCUCAGGUCAUAAUCUUGUGGUUCGUGGAUUCGAGCUCUGUGUCGGGCUCUGUGCUGACAGCUCGGAGCCUGCUUCGGGUUCUGUGACGCACUCCCUCUCUUUCUGCCCCUCCCCUACUUGUACUCUCUCUCUCUCUC